GAUGGNGCUUGCACUAUCACUUAGCGGCGGACGGGUGAGUAAUGCUUAGGAAUCUGCCUAUUAGUGGGGGACAACAUUUCGAAAGGAAUGCUAAUACCGCAUACGUCCUACGGGAGAAAGCAGGGGAUCUUCGGACCUUGCGCUAAUAGAUGAGCCUAAGUCGGAUUAGCUAGUUGGUGGGGUAAAGGCCUACCAAGGCGACGAUCUGUAGCGGGUCUGAGAGGAUGAUCCGCCACACUGGGACUGAGACACGGCCCAGACUCCUACGGGAGGCAGCAGUGGGGAAUAUUGGACAAUGGGCGCAAGCCUGAUCCAGCCAUGCCGCGUGUGUGAAGAAGGCCUUAUGGUUGUAAAGCACUUUAAGCGAGGAGGAGGCUACUUUAGUUAAUACCUAGAGAUAGUGGACGUUACUCGCAGAAUAAGCACCGGCU
This 431-nucleotide ribosomal RNA is filed under the name Acinetobacter calcoaceticus. Its description in RNAcentral is "bacterial SSU rRNA". It matches the Rfam family "Bacterial small subunit ribosomal RNA", at positions 72 to 498 of the family's 1533-position model. Lineage: Bacteria; Pseudomonadati; Pseudomonadota; Gammaproteobacteria; Moraxellales; Moraxellaceae. The record is from RNAcentral.